RNAcentral lists this ribosomal RNA (460 nucleotides) under uncultured bacterium. RNAcentral's name for it is "partial 16S ribosomal RNA". It matches the Rfam family "Bacterial small subunit ribosomal RNA", at positions 338 to 795 of the family's 1533-position model. The record is from RNAcentral.
CCUACGGGAGGCAGCAGUGAGGAAUAUUGGUCAAUGGGCUUACGCCUGAACCAGCCAAGUCGCGUGAGGGAAGACUGCCCUAUGGGUUGUAAACCUCUUUUGUCAGGGAGCAAUUGGCGCUACGUGUAGCGUUAUCGAGAGUACCUGAAGAAAAAGCAUCGGCUAACUCCGUGCAAGCAGCCGCGGUAAUACGGAGGAGGCGAGCUUUAUCCGGAUUUAUGGGGUUUAAAGGGUGCGUAGGCGGAAUGCCAAGUCAGCGGUAAAAUCGCGGGGCUCAACCUCGCUCCGCCGUUGAUACUGGCGUUCUUGAGUGGGCGAGAAGUAUGCGGAAUGCGUGGUGUAGCGGUGAAAUGCAUAGAUAUCACGAAGAACUCCGAUUGCGAAGGCAGCAUACCGGCGUGCAACUGACGCUGAAGCACGAAAGUGUGGGUAUCGAACAGGAUUAGAUACCCCAGUAGUC